This 74-nucleotide transfer RNA is filed under the name Terriglobia bacterium. RNAcentral describes it as "tRNA-OTHER". It matches the Rfam family "tRNA". From Rfam's summary of the family: Transfer RNA (tRNA) molecules are approximately 80 nucleotides in length. Their secondary structure includes four short double-helical elements and three loops (D, anti-codon, and T loops). Lineage: Bacteria; Pseudomonadati; Acidobacteriota; Terriglobia. The record is from RNAcentral.
GCCGGAAUAGCUCAGCGGUAGAGCAGCGUUUUGUAACGCGCAGGUCGUCGGUUCGAGCCCGACUUCUGGCCCCA